GAUAACACGGGUGUCCUUGGAGAUAGUGUUUUUGAGAAGGGCUCCAUCGCCCAGGCUUUCCUUCCCAUAAGGCUCCCAUGUGUGGGGAGACAUGGCUAGUUUGCAGGGCUGGGAGUGGGAGGGAGGGGUAAGAGAGGUACAGCUGGAGGAGGCUUCACGGAAAGACUGUGGAAAUGUGGAAAGCAGGGAAAUGAAGAGGGACACGUCACUUGUUGCAAACUGAAAUGCAGAGGGGGUGGUAAGGGGAAGAAAGGAUCAAGGAGGCAGAGAUUUGGAAGUUUCAUCACAGAAGAACUGGCCUCAAGAGCAAAGGGACAGGGGGAAGUCAAGAUCCUACAAAAGUCAUCAUGGUGACUCUUCCUCUUUUCCUCCUCUUCAUCCUUUUGCCCUGCAGUAAAUCUCAAGAGGACUUUCUGGACCAGCAUCAGAAGUGGAACUACAGAGAAGGCGCUGACAAGGUCAACAUAGAAGGUGUUUAUAGCAUUACUCAAACCCUUGAGAAAUGGGGAAACGACAUCUUCUGGCAAAUGAAGCAUACCCUGCUGAACAACCCACAUGCUCUCCUGCCUGAGUUCUCCAGUCUCCGCCCUGUCUCUGCAGCUGUGGACAACCUUGUGAGGGAAGUCCAGUCGAUAAGGAAAAGGCUGGAAGAAUUGAAUGAACGUCUCAAUGUCAUCAGCAAAACUGUCCUUCCCCUUCGACUGAAUGCUCUGCAGAGCCAGAGGCGUGGAAAUACUCAGCUGCGGAGACUCCCGACACACAGGAGAAGGUUAUAUGCUCGCAGGAGACCUCAGAGCACUUAAUUCUCUACCAGAAAAAAAGGGGAAAUCAUUACUUUUUUUUCAUCUGCUUAAGUCUUUCUCAAUGGGACACUGCUAGAGAGAAAAAAAGUAAAGCACACACACAAGUCAGCUUUGCUAAGGAGACCAGAACUUCUGUAUUUUGUUGCUGCCUUUCAAACCUAGGUCAGUAGGUGAAACUGACCCUGUUUUUUAAUGAUGGCUGUUUUGUGUCUCAAGCAAAAAAGAGUUGACAAGCUCAAUCUACUUGAGCGUGAAUACCUUUAGUCUAUACAGGCAUUCUUUCUGCUUACCAGAGGAAGGUCAUUUUAUAAAGAUCAGGUGAAUUUCUCUCUCUCUGCACUAUUUUUAAAGCACUCCAUCUGAAACAGCUGGGGAAUUUGAACUUCUAAAGUGCUGAACAACUGAUGAAUGCAGAAAGAUGGAUUAGUGCUUGGCACUUCCAGCUGGGCAGGGAGAGGGAGAGGAAGUUAUGUUUCAAAAUACAGCCUUAACCUAUUGCCCAUGUUCAUAUGUUCAGAGGGUGGGUAGGGCUGGAUAACAUUGGUCUGUACAUCAUGCUUCAACACUGAAGACCUAUCAGUUGCUAGGGACCAAAUUUAAACAUUCAUCUUCUGCAAAGAGUGUUUUUCUAGCUACCUGUAUCUGUGCACUCAGAAUGGUGUUAUUCAGUAGAUAUAUUCAGAAUUUCCAGCACUCUGAAACACACUGAACUGAUUUUUGCCAAGACCCAUGAAAACCAGGAGAUUUUUGUUUGGUUUUUUUCCCCCCCAAAAACUAUUUAGAUAUCUAAUGGCAAAGACAGGUGUCUGGAAGGAUUUUCCAAAAUAGCUUAAGAGACUCUUCAGUCCCCAAAAUCACAGAUAAUAUUUCAAUUGGUAUCUAGUUCACAGAGUAUUUUCUCCAAAUGCCAGCACUGACCUCCAGACAUUUUCCAACCUCCUUUAGUACAAUUAAUAUCUGUAGAAAAUUAACAACCAGGCUCUCCAAAGACUUUGGUCCCUCAGGGAUUACCCAGAAUACUUUGCCUUCAGCUUGCCUUUGCCUAUGUCUUCCUGACAAUAAAGCUGGUUAUAAAAAAGAAUGCAUUAAUCAAAUUAUACACGGAAUGGAGGAUAGCGUGCACUUGCCCUUCAGGUCUCUAAAGAUUGAUCCAAUACAUAGAUUUCCAUUCAGCAUUGCAGUCAACUGUGUCAAUGAAAUGUGUUGAAACACAAGAAGGAGAGCCAGAAAGGAGAAGAAACAGGUUGUCUUUAAGGUCUGGAUGAAGCAAUUUAUGAGAACACAAAUAAAGAAUGGAUUGUGUCUAAAUGAUUGUGGAGGUGUCUGACAUGACAGCUGUUUUGCAAACACUCUCCAGUCACAGUGAGGAUGCAGACUAGCUGUUUAAGGAUUCCCAAAGCCUGAGUUUAUGGAAAGAAAUUCAGUGACAGUACAAUAACCUCGAAAAGGAAAGGGGGAAAAAACUAGUUUCAUAUGAAACCUUUCAGAAUGGACCAGAAGAAUUAACACAGUAUGAAUUUGAGCUGCAACCUGGGAGUUAGUUGAGUGGGGGAGGUAUGGGCAGUGUAUGAGACAAUCUGAUAAAUAUUUCCCUGAUGUAAAUUCUCUGAGUUCAGGUUUUCAGAAAAUAACAAAACUCAAAUUUGGUUCUCUUUGGCUUUUGCUUGGGAAUUUGAAACACUGCUUAGGCAGAGAAGGGAAAAAUCAAGACUGAAAAGGCUGAUAAAAGGAUACAGUUGUGCCUUUGUUGAAGUUGUCAUCAUAAUUUCUCAGGAAAUGUAGAGCAUUUUGAUCCCAGAAUAUAUUUACAUAAAUUACAAGGAAUAACAAGAGAGAAAGGCCCUUAACUUCUUGUUAUUCUGCAUUCAGAGUUUCUAGGCUGUGCUGUAGCAACAGCUGCAUCCUUGCACAGACUGCUGAUCCCUCCAAGGGGUGCUUUGCUUGGAGCUGUAGGGAUUGCUGGUUUUUUUUGGCCUAUCUGAAGGAAGCGUACAACAUAAAUGUUAGCUUUCAUGUUCAUAUUUUAGACACCAGCAUUUUAUCAGGCAACCUGAAGUUGUAUAAAUUCAAGACUACUUGAAAUAGAAAGAUGAGACUUCCCUAAGUCCCUCAAGUUACAGAUGGCUGGUGGUGGGUGGCCAGACCAUGCCAUUGCAUCCUUUAACUUUAUACCUAGAUGUCCACCAGCAGCUUCUGCCAGAGACAGAGGACAGGGCAAGAUGUAUUCCCAGUUUAACCCAGCCCAUGUAUUCCGACACUGAUACGUGCAAGUUUAUAGUCUUGGCAAAACCUCCUCAGCACAAUGGAGAAGGCCACCGUUUGCUGUAUAAGAGAAUAAAUAAGCUGCAGCAUUCAGUGUAUAUUA
Long non-coding RNA from Poecile atricapillus (Black-capped chickadee), 3168 nucleotides. RefSeq lists it as uncharacterized. The record is from RefSeq and is a predicted model, not a curated record. Lineage: Eukaryota; Metazoa; Chordata; Aves; Passeriformes; Paridae. The transcript is spliced from 4 exons.